AUUGAACGCUGGCGGCAGGCCUAACACAUGCAAGUCGAGCGGCAGAAGGGAACUUGCUCGUGGAUUCAGCGGCGGACGGGUGGGUAAUGCCUAGGAAUCUGCCUGUUUGCGGUUGAUAACGUCCGGAAACGGGGGCACAUACCGCAUACGUCCAGAGGGCGUACGUGUGGAAUCUUCGGACCUCACGCUCUCGGAUGAGCCUAGGUCGGAUUAGCUAGUUGGCGGGGUAAAGGCCUACCAAGGCGACGAUCCGUAACUGGUCUGAGAGGAUGAUCAGUCACACUGGAACUGAGACACGGUCCAGACUCCUACGGGAGGCAGCAGUGGGGAAUAUUGGACAAUGGGCGAAAGCCUGAUCCAGCCAUGCCGCGUGUGUGAAGAAGGUCUUCGGAUUGUAAAGCACUUUAAGUGGGGAGGAAGGGCAGUAAGUUAAUACCUUGCUGUUUUGACGUUACCAACAGAAUAAGCACCGGCUAACUUCGUG
Molecule: ribosomal RNA, 484 nt
Filed under: uncultured bacterium
Lineage: Bacteria
Description: partial 16S ribosomal RNA
Rfam family: Bacterial small subunit ribosomal RNA
Source: RNAcentral